RNAcentral lists this ribosomal RNA (207 nucleotides) under uncultured bacterium. RNAcentral describes it as "partial 16S ribosomal RNA". It matches the Rfam family "Bacterial small subunit ribosomal RNA", at positions 568 to 774 of the family's 1533-position model. The record is from RNAcentral.
CGUGUAGGCGGACAGGUAAGUCGGGUGUGAAAGCCCGGGGCUCAACCCCGGAACUGCGCCCGAAACUGCUUGUCUUGAGUACGGGAGGGGGAAGCGGAAUUCUUGGUGUAGGGGUGAAAUCCGUAGAUAUCAGGAGGAACACCGAUAGCGAAGGCAGCUUCCUGGACCGAUACUGACGCUGAGACGCGAAAGCGUGGGGAGCAAACA